GUUGGUCAGAAGUAAAGAAGGAUUUGGAAAUAUGGUCAAAAUUGAAGUUAUCAUUGUUGGGCCGAAUUGCUGCGAUAAAGAUGAAUGUAUUGCCUAGAAUGUUGUUUUUGUUUCAAACAUUGCAAAUUGUGGACAAAAUGGACUGUUUCAAGAGGUGGCAAAGAGAUAUUUCUAAAUUUAUCUGGCAGGGCAAAAAGCCUAGAAUAAAAUUUAAAAUAUUAACAGAUGCAAAGGAAAGAGGUGGAUUUGCCCUGCCAGAUCUUAAACUUUAUUAUGAAUCAGCCGCAUUUUGCUGGUUGAAAGACUGGCUACUUCUUGAAAAUACGGACAUUUUGGACCUAGAAGGUUUUGAUAAUGUGUUUGGAUGGCAUGCAUAUUUAUGGUACGACAAGGUUAAAGCGCAUAAGGCCUUUAAGAACCAUAUUGUCAGGAAAGCAUUGUUUAAUGUUUGGGUGAG
Molecule: long non-coding RNA, 457 nt
Filed under: Podarcis lilfordi (Lilford's wall lizard)
Lineage: Eukaryota; Metazoa; Chordata; Lepidosauria; Squamata; Lacertidae
Source: RNAcentral